RNAcentral lists this ribosomal RNA (1137 nucleotides) under uncultured bacterium. RNAcentral's name for it is "bacterial SSU rRNA". It matches the Rfam family "Bacterial small subunit ribosomal RNA", at positions 1 to 1104 of the family's 1533-position model. The record is from RNAcentral.
UGAGUUUGAUCCUGGUUCAGGACGAACGCUGGCGGCGUGCCUAAUACAUGCAAGUCGAGCGAGCUUGCCUAGAUGAUUUUAGUGCUUGCACUAAAUGAAACUAGAUACAAGCGAGCGGCGGACGGGUGAGUAACACGUGGGUAACCUGCCCAAGAGACUGGGAUAACACCUGGAAACAGAUGCUAAUACCGGAUAACAACACUAGACGCAUGUCUAGAGUCUGAAAGAUGGUUCUGCUAUCACUCUUGGAUGGACCUGCGGUGCAUUAGCUAGUUGGUAAGGUAACGGCUUACCAAGGCAAUGAUGCAUAGCCGAGUUGAGAGACUGAUCGGCCACAUUGGGACUGAGACACGGCCCAAACUCCUACGGGAGGCAGCAGUAGGGAAUCUUCCACAAUGGACGAAAGUCUGAUGGAGCAACGCCGCGUGAGUGGAGAAGGGUUUCGGCUCGUAAAGCUCUGUUGGUAGUGAAGAAAGAUAGAGGUAGUAACUGGCCUUUAUUUGACGGUAAUUACUUAGAAAGUCACGGCUAACUACGUGCCAGCAGCCGCGGUAAUACGUAGGUGGCAAGCGUUGUCCGGAUUUAUUGGGCGUAAAGCGAGUGCAGGCGGUUCAAUAAGUCUGAUGUGAAAGCCUUCGGCUCAACCGGAGAAUUGCAUCAGAAACUGUUGAACUUGAGUGCAGAAGAGGAGAGUGGAACUCCAUGUGUAGCGGUGGAAUGCGUAGAUAUAUGGAAGAACACCAGUGGCGAAGGCGGCUCUCUGGUCUGCAACUGACGCUGAGGCUCGAAAGCAUGGGUAGCGAACAGGAUUAGAUACCCUGGUAGUCCAUGCCGUAAACGAUGAGUGCUAAGUGUUGGGAGGUUUCCGCCUCUCAGCGCUGCAGCUAACGCAUUAAGCACUCCGCCUGGGGAGUACGACCGCAAGGUUGAAACUCAAAGGAAUUGACGGGGGCCCGCACAAGCGGUGGAGCAUGUGGUUUAAUUCGAAGCAACGCGAAGAACCUUACCAGGUCUUGACAUCCAGUGCAAACCUAAGAGAUUAGGUGUUCCCUUCGGGGACGCUGAGACAGGUGGUGCAUGGCUGUCGUCAGCUCGUGUCGUGAGAUGUUGGGUUAAGUCCCGCAACGAGCGCAACCC